CCUACGGGAGGCAGCAGUGAGGAAUAUUGGUCAAUGGGCGCGAGCCUGAUCCAGUCAAGUAGCGCGAAGGAUGACUGCCCUACGGGUUGUAAACUUCUUCUAUAAAGGAAUAAAGUGAGGCACGUGUGCCUUUUUGCAUGUACUUUAUGAAUAAGAAUAGGCUAACUCCGCGCCAGCAGCCGCGGUACUACGGAGGAGCCGAGCGUUAUCCGGAUUUAUUGGGUUUAAAGGGAGCGUAGAUGGGUUGUUAAGUUAGUUGUGAAAGUUUGCGGAUCAACCUGAGAAUUGCAAUUGAUACUGGCAGCCUUGAGUACAGUUGAGGUAGGCAGAAUUCGUGGUGUAGCGGUGAAAUGCGUAGAGAUCACGAAGAACUCCGAUUGCGAAGGCAGCUUACUAAACUGCGACUGACGUUGAUGCGCGAAAGUGUGGGGAGCAAACAGGAUUAGAUACCCGUGUAGUC
This 460-nucleotide ribosomal RNA is filed under the name uncultured bacterium. RNAcentral's name for it is "partial 16S ribosomal RNA". It matches the Rfam family "Bacterial small subunit ribosomal RNA", at positions 338 to 795 of the family's 1533-position model. The record is from RNAcentral.